RNAcentral lists this ribosomal RNA (641 nucleotides) under uncultured bacterium. RNAcentral's name for it is "bacterial SSU rRNA". It matches the Rfam family "Bacterial small subunit ribosomal RNA", at positions 233 to 885 of the family's 1533-position model. The record is from RNAcentral.
GCGGCCUAUCAGCUUGUUGGUGGGGUAGUGGCCUACCAAGGCGACGACGGGUAGCCGGCCUGAGAGGGCGACCGGCCACACUGGGACUGAGACACGGCCCAGACUCCUACGGGAGGCAGCAGUGGGGAAUAUUGCGCAAUGGGCGAAAGCCUGACGCAGCGACGCCGCGUGAGGGAUGACGGCCUUCGGGUUGUAAACCUCUUUCAGCAGGGACGAAGCGCGAGUGACGGUACCUGCAGAAGAAGCACCGGCUAACUACGUGCCAGCAGCCGCGGUAAUACGUAGGGUGCGAGCGUUGUCCGGAAUUAUUGGGCGUAAAGAGCUCGUAGGCGGUUUGUCGCGUCGACUGUGAAAACCUACAGCUUAACUGUGGGCUUGCAGUCGAUACGGGCAGACUUGAGUUCGGUAGGGGAGACUGGAAUUCCUGGUGUAGCGGUGAAAUGCGCAGAUAUCAGGAGGAACACCGGUGGCGAAGGCGGGUCUCUGGGCCGAUACUGACGCUGAGGAGCGAAAGCGUGGGGAGCGAACAGGAUUAGAUACCCUGGUAGUCCACGCCGUAAACGGUGGGAACUAGGUGUGGGGGGCUUCCACGUCCUCCGUGCCGUAGCUAACGCAUUAAGUUCCCCGCCUGGGGAGUACGG